Molecule: ribosomal RNA, 497 nt
Filed under: uncultured bacterium
Lineage: Bacteria
Description: partial 16S ribosomal RNA
Rfam family: Bacterial small subunit ribosomal RNA
Source: RNAcentral
GAUGAACGCUGGCGGCGUGCCUAAUACAUGCAAGUCGAGCGAACAGACGAGGAGCUUGCUCCUCUGACGUUAGCGGCGGACGGGUGAGUAACACGUGGAUAACCUACCUAUAAGACUGGGAUAACUUCGGGAAACCGGAGCUAAUACCGGAUAAUAUAUUGAACCGCAUUGUUCAAUAGUGAAAGACGGUUUUGCUGUCACUUAUAGAUGGAUCCGCGCCGCAUUAGCUAGUUGGUAAGGUAACGGCUUACCAAGGCAACGAUGCGUAGACGACCUGAGAGGGUGAUCGGCCACACUGGAACUGAGACACGGUCCAGACUCCUACGGGAGGCAGCAGUAGGGAAUCUUCCGCAAUGGGCGAAAGCCUGACGGAGCAACGCCGCGUGAGUGAUGAAGGUCUUCGGAUCGUAAAACUCUGUUAUUAGGGAAGAACAAAUGUGUAAGUAACUAUGCACGUCUUGACGGUACCUAAUCAGAAAGCCACGGCUAACUACGUG